GUCUACGGCCAUACCACCCUGAACGCGCCCGAUCUCGUCUGAUCUUGGAAGCUAAGCAGGGUCGGGCCUGGUUAGUACUUGGAUGGGAGAAAUACAGUCAAUAACAUUAUACU
RNAcentral lists this ribosomal RNA (113 nucleotides) under Mustela putorius furo (domestic ferret). Lineage: Eukaryota; Metazoa; Chordata; Mammalia; Carnivora; Mustelidae. The record is from RNAcentral.